This 693-nucleotide ribosomal RNA is filed under the name uncultured fungus. Its description in RNAcentral is "eukaryotic LSU rRNA". The stretch from base 260 to 413 matches the Rfam family "5.8S ribosomal RNA". Lineage: Eukaryota; Fungi. The record is from RNAcentral.
CUUGGUCAUUUAGAGGAAGUAAAAGUCGUAACAAGGUUUCCGUAGGUGAACCUGCGGAAGGAUCAUUAACGUAUCUCUGACGGCGGAGGCGCGCCCUGCUCCGGACCGAAAGGCCGUGCAGCGGGUGCGCCCGAGUCGCUCAACCCUUUCGAACCCACCGUGCACUCUUGUCGGCGAGGGGCCCAGCGCCCCGAGCCGGAUCACAAACACCUUUAAAAACAGAAUGACCAGCGCACAUGUGUGUCGCCUAAACUUAAACAACUUUCAACAACGGAUCUCUUGGCUCUCGCAUCGAUGAAGAACGCAGCGAAAUGCGAUAAGUAAUGUGAAUUGCAGAAUUCAGUGAAUCAUCGAAUCUUUGAACGCACCUUGCGCUCCUUGGUAUUCCGAGGGGCAUGCCUGUUUGAGUGUCAUGAAACCAUCAAACUACAAUUGUUUUUUAUGAGCAAUUGCCUGUUUGGACGUUGGAUGCUUGCUGGACAGUUGCAUGACCCAGCUCAUCUGAAAUAUAUUAGCUGAUCUUAAUAUCAUGGAUUAUCCACUUGGCGUGAUAAGUAUCACCCGCUGAGGACUUAUCCGGAAAUAAUAGAUUGCUUCUAGUCAUAGAUACAACUAUUGUAUUAUAUUGAAUCAUCUGACCUCAAAUCAGGUAGGACUACCCGCUGAACUUAAGCAUAUCAAUAAGCGGAGGAA